GUACAAAAUCCUCAAACUGUAUACUGAUUCAUCCUGCAUCUUAAAAUAUUCUUCAGCCAUCUCCUCUCCAACAAGGAAAGUUGGUGGUCUUCAUGGGAGCGAGUCCUCAGUCUCACUCCAUCUCGAAGUUUCCUCCCUCCCCUUCCGUCCUCGCGCCUCUUUUUCACUCCUCAGAUUACCUCUGGGAAUCCCAAAUCUUAGAAAUCCGUUAUACAGGGUCAUUUGAUUCCCCAGCAAAACUUGUCCCCUGAGGGGUGCACUUCAAAUUCAGCUCCAGGAGUUCAGCAUUUUUAUCUUUUGGGAAGAUAAAAGAAAAAUACUUUUCCCUUGUGUUAAAAAUGGCAACAUUCAUUGAACUCUUACAAUAAUAAAUAGUAAUAUUGAUAAAGAAUUGACUCUGUGCCAGGCACGGUGCAUUUUAUGUGCCUUAUCCCAUUUAAAAAUCAAAAUAUCAUCAGGUGUUGGCGCUGUCCCUCCACCCCACCCAGGCCUAGGGUAGCCGGUCCAGCUCCCAGCUGGCUGAACCCAUCACAACCCACCUGGCCAAUCCACUCUGAGUUUCAGCCUGCAAAUGUCCACCAGCUCGGGGGCUUUGCUGCUUUUGCUUUUCACCAGGUCAUUCACCUAACCCAGGAUUUUUUAACUUUGGCACUCUUGCCAUUUGGAGCCAGGAAAUCCUUUGUUUUGGGGGCUGUCCUGUGCAUUGCAGGAGGUGAUGCUAGGUUAAGAGAAGCUUGUUAUUUUUAAUGGCAUUCCCUGGAAGAAUAUAAACCCAGCAACCUUUUAAAAAAAUUUAUUUAUUUAUUUAUGCUAGUUCAUAGAAAAUCAAAAGUCUGAGAACCUUUGGCCCCAGCUCUGAAAAUCUGUAAUUUGGAGUAUGUUUUUGAAGGAAGAACUUGUACUUAGCCUGCCUGCUGACCUUUUAAUGAGUUUUAAAUAACGUCAUUGAUUAAGCUGCCCCAACAGCCUUCCUGUGAAGUAUUCACCUCAAGAGUAAAGGCAGUUGAAUGCUGGAAGAUGAGAUGCAUGCAAGACUAGCAUUCUCACCAACUAGGAAGAGGCGUGGAUCACUUCAGCUCCGAAACUCUGAAUCCUUUCUGGUGACCAUCAAAUAGGAUGAGAAAGCCAAAGCAUGUGAAUAUGGAAAGUUUGCUGGCUCUCUCCAGUUCUUCACUCAUGUGGCCAAAACAGACGCUGUUGACCUGACCCGUCUUCACAUCACAUUUCGAGUCCCUAACAGACCAAUAAAUGGCUCUGUGGCCUGAUUCCAAAUUCCAUGGAGAGAGA
Molecule: long non-coding RNA, 1287 nt
Filed under: Equus caballus (horse)
Lineage: Eukaryota; Metazoa; Chordata; Mammalia; Perissodactyla; Equidae
Description: lncRNA (ENSECAG00000049045.1)
Source: RNAcentral